CCUACGGGAGGCAGCAGUGAGGAAUAUUGGACAAUGGGCGCAAGCCUGAUCCAGCCAUGCCGCGUGCAGGAAGACGGUCCUAUGGAUUGUAAACUGCUUUUAUACAGGAAGAAACACCUCUACGUGUAGAGACUUGACGGUACUGUAUGAAUAAGCAUCGGCUAACUCCGUGCCAGCAGCCGCGGUAAUACGGAGGAUGCGAGCGUUAUCCGGAAUCAUUGGGUUUAAAGGGUCCGUAGGCGGUUUAAUAAGUCAGUGGUGAAAGCCCAUCGCUCAACGAUGGAACGGCCAUUGAUACUGUUAAACUUGAAUUAUUAGGAAGUAACUAGAAUAUGUAGUGUAGCGGUGAAAUGCUUAGAGAUUACAUGGAAUACCAAUUGCGAAGGCAGGUUACUACUAAUAUAUUGACGCUGAUGGACGAAAGCGUGGGGAGCGAACAGGAUUAGAUACCCUGGUAGUCCACGCCGUAAACGAUGGAUACUAGCUGUUCGGAGCAAUCUGAGUGCGUAGACGAAGUAGAGUAAGUAUACCACCGUCGGGAGGUACGGUUCGCGAGAAGUAGAACGUACGAAAGGAAAGUUAGUACGGACGUAGAGACGUUGCCGACGGACGACGACGAGGGAGGAGGG
RNAcentral lists this ribosomal RNA (629 nucleotides) under uncultured bacterium. RNAcentral describes it as "bacterial SSU rRNA". The stretch from base 1 to 534 matches the Rfam family "Bacterial small subunit ribosomal RNA", at positions 338 to 873 of the family's 1533-position model. The record is from RNAcentral.